Molecule: unclassified non-coding RNA, 336 nt
Filed under: soil metagenome
Description: partial contains 5.8S ribosomal RNA, internal transcribed spacer 2, and large subunit ribosomal RNA
Rfam family: 5.8S ribosomal RNA (bases 1-120)
Source: RNAcentral
GAUGAAGAACGUAGCGAAAUGCGAUAAGUAGUGUGAAUUGCAGAAUUCAGUGAAUCAUCGAAUCUUUGAACGCACUUUGCGCCCCUUGGUAUUCCAUGGGGCAUGCCUGUUCGAGCGUCAUUUGUACCUUCAAGCUUUGCUUGGUGUUGGGUGUUUGUCUCGCCUUUGCGUGUAGACUCGCCUUAAAAUAAUUGGCAGCCGGCGUAUUGAUUUCGGAGCGCAGUACAUCUCGCGCUUUGCACUCAUAACGACAGCGUCCAAAAGUACAUUUUACACUCUUGACCUCGGAUCAGGUAGGGAUACCCGCUGAACUUAAGCAUAUCAAUAAGCGGAGGA